CUGGCUCAGGACGAACGCUGGCGGCGUGCCUAAUACAUGCAAGUCGAGCGGACGAAUGGGAGCUUGCUCCCKAUUCGUUAGCGGCGGACGGGUGAGUAACACGUGGGCAACCUGCCUGUAAGACUGGGAUAACUUCGGGAAACCGGAGCUAAUACCGGAUAAUCCUUUUCCCCKCCUGGGGAAAARCUGAAAGACGGUUUCGGCUGUCACUUACAGAUGGGCCCGCGGCGCAUUAGCUGGUUGGUGGGGUAACGGCCCACCAAGGCGACGAUGCGUAGCCGACCUGAGAGGGUGAUCGGCCACACUGGGACUGAGACACGGCCCAGACUCCUACGGGAGGCAGCAGUAGGGAAUCUUCCGCAAUGGACGAAAGUCUGACGGAGCAACGCCGCGUGAGUGAAGAAGGUUUUCGGAUCGUAAAACUCUGUUGUCAGGGAAGAACAAGUACCGGAGUCACUGCCGGUACCUUGACGGUACCUGACCAGAAAGCCACGGCUAACUACGUGCCAGCAGCCGCGGUAAUACGUAGGUGGCAAGCGUUGUCCGGAAUUAUUGGGCGUAAAGCGCGCGCAGGCGGUUUCUUAGUCUGAUGUGAAGCCCACGGCUCAACCGUGGAGGGUCAUUGGAAACUGGGAAACUUGAGUGCAGAAGAGGAGAGCGGAAUUCCACGUGUAGCGGUGAAAUGCGUAGAGAUGUGGAGGAACACCAGUGGCGAAGGCGGCUCUCUGGUCUGUAACUGACGCUGAGGCGCGAAAGCGUGGGGAGCGAACAGGAUUAGAUACCCUGGUAGUCCACGCCGUAAACGAUGAGUGCUAAGUGUUAGAGGGUUUCCGCCCUUUAGUGCUGCAGCAAACGCAUUAAGCACUCCGCCUGGGGAGUACGGCCGCAAGGCUGAAACUCAAAGGAAUUGACGGGGGCCCGCACAAGCGGUGGAGCAUGUGGUUUAAUUCGAAGCAACGCGAAGAACCUUACCAGGUCUUGACAUCCUCUGCCAAUCCUGGAGACAGGASGUUCCCCUUCGGGGGACAGAGUGACAGGUGGUGCAUGGUUGUCGUCAGCUCGUGUCGUGAGAUGUUGGGUUAAGUCCCGCAACGAGCGCAACCCUUGAUCUUAGUUGCCAGCAUUSAGUUGGGCACUCUAAGGUGACUGCCGGUGACAAACCGGAGGAAGGUGGGGAUGACGUCAAAUCAUCAUGCCCCUUAUGACCUGGGCUACACACGUGCUACAAUGGAUGGGUACAAAGGGCGGCGAAACCGCGAGGURGAGCGAAUCCCAUAAAACCAUUCUCAGUUCGGAUUGCAGGCUGCAACUCGCCUGCAUGAAGCCGGAAUCGCUAGUAAUCGCGGAUCAGCAUGCCGCGG
Molecule: ribosomal RNA, 1361 nt
Filed under: Bacillus sp. (in: firmicutes)
Lineage: Bacteria; Bacillati; Bacillota; Bacilli; Caryophanales; Bacillaceae
Description: bacterial SSU rRNA
Source: RNAcentral